AUUGGGACGAUACACAGAAAAUUAGCAUGGCCCUCACGCGACAGGAAUGACACGCACAAAUCGAAAAAAGUCCAAGUAUUUUUUUGAGAUUU
Molecule: small nuclear RNA, 92 nt
Filed under: Oryza sativa Indica Group (long-grained rice)
Lineage: Eukaryota; Viridiplantae; Streptophyta; Magnoliopsida; Poales; Poaceae
Source: RNAcentral